RNAcentral lists this long non-coding RNA (211 nucleotides) under Elaeis guineensis (African oil palm). RNAcentral describes it as "long non-coding RNA (EGUI_LNC060604)". The record is from RNAcentral. Lineage: Eukaryota; Viridiplantae; Streptophyta; Magnoliopsida; Arecales; Arecaceae.
AUGGUGAUCCUAUUGAACUCGAUGAGAAUAAUGAGGAUCCGAUCACCUACAUAGAUGUAAUAUAGAGGUCUAACUCUAUAAGUAGCUAGAAGCCAUGAAAUCUAAAAUGGAGUCCAUGAAGGUCAAUGAUGUAUGGACAUUAGUUGACCCACCUGAAGAGGUAAAACCCAUAAGGUGAAAGUGAAUCUUCAAAAAGAAGAGGGGCACAGAU